GCAGCUCCGUGUUUGGCAGCAGCUCGAGCGAGUAGCGACACCUCUGACCCUGAGAGUCAACGCGUACGAGCCAGUCGUUCACCCUCGUUUGGUCGUUCCCCAAUCCCCAUCCUCCCACCUCCCCGCCUCCGCGUCCGGCGACCUGAUUCCUUGACGACGGCGGCGGCAACUGGCGAGCAGAUCUCAAUCCCCUUCUCAGCCGGCUCUUGGACAGCUGGAGUGUCCGCACCCGCGGCGUGGCGCACCCAUCGGGCGCCGGCAGUUCGGUACUGCUCGGCUGCACCCUGCUCCUCCUCUCUACUUGCUAGGUAGCGAUGGUGAAACAACGGAAGAUGCAGUCUUUUUUUUAAAGGAAAGGGGAUGAUGAAAUAGUUAAAUCUCCAUUACCUCCUUAUGCUCUAUCAUUGGUUCAAUAUAUGGGUGAAAGACAGCAUGAAGAUGCCAAAGAAGGUCAAAUGGAAGAUGAUAUUGGGCAGAAAAAUCAGAUGCAAGAUGAUGAUGUUCUAGUUGGCUACUCACUACUGGAUUAUCCAGGACGCUCUAGUUGGCUACUCACUACUGUUUGGCGUCGUCUGUUCCUUUCUAGUUGGCUACUCAACAAUGAUAUGGUCCUCUAAUUGUCCUUGCAUCCGUUCUACAACUUAGUGGCUUUUUAUGCAUAUGGUGUGUUCUUA
Long non-coding RNA from Triticum aestivum (bread wheat), 674 nucleotides. RefSeq lists it as uncharacterized. The record is from RefSeq and is a predicted model, not a curated record. NCBI's taxonomy places the organism in Eukaryota, Viridiplantae, Streptophyta, Magnoliopsida, Poales, Poaceae. The transcript has 2 exons.